UCUUGGUCACCUGUUGGGGCAGCCUGCUCCUUUUCCCUGAGUCUGUGAGUCUGGAGAGAACUGGAACCGGAUCUUGGGAGCUUCAGAGAGGAGUCGGACUGGAUGGCUGCUUCCUGACUUGGUUGGACCUCUCCCCAUCUGCCAACCCCAGGAACCCUUGCCCUGACUCCUUAAUUGGCAGUCUGGGCAGGGGCCACCGAGCCCAGCCAGUGCCACCCAGCCUGUGCAGAGCUGUUGAAGACUUGUUGCCCCUGAGGAGACCAGGCUCCAGCAGCAAGGCCACACCAAGGUCCCAGACCUCAGUCACAUCUGGGUCCCCCUUGCCCAGCCACAUGCAGACUUAGCCCGUGGUUGGCCCUGGGGCCCCCUUCUGCUCCCACUGUAUGUUCUAGGAGCAGGUUUCUGCUGCCCUGGGCUGCUUGGCCUCCCCUUAGGGGCCUGUGGGCCUGGCACCAGGCGCAGCCUCCCUCAGCUCAGCUGCCUCUUGAACUCCAAGCUGCCCUGGCCCUACCCAUCCCCUCUACCAGCCUUCUUUCUCCAUUCCUAAGCAGUUCAGUUCUGACGCAUCCCAUCCCUGCGUGAAACAGACCUUGGAAAAUCAGAGCUGCCAAGGAUGGACUGGCAUUUAAAAGGCAUCCAAGACUUGAGAGGAAGGCGGAAGAGGGGAGAGAGUGCAGGGCCCUGUCCCUGGACAGCAGCUGGAUUUAGUGGAUGGAAAAUCACAGAAUGCACCCUUCCCUGGGAAGCACCCCGGGAAGAGGGGGGCAAGUGGGGUACCAGGCAGCAUGCCCCACUGGCCACCACCCGCAGUCACCACCACAUGCUCCCAAAGUGAAAAGAUGUGUGAGGGCCGUCGGGAGUCUGCAGCCGACAGCCUUGUAAAUUGUGUUCUCUUAGCAGGUUUAUUCGUUUAUGAAAUAUUGAAGCCCCAUUUCGCUUUAC
RNAcentral lists this long non-coding RNA (942 nucleotides) under Capra hircus (goat). Its description in RNAcentral is "lncRNA (ENSCHIG00010021771.1)". Lineage: Eukaryota; Metazoa; Chordata; Mammalia; Artiodactyla; Bovidae. The record is from RNAcentral.